RNAcentral lists this transfer RNA (68 nucleotides) under Toropuku stephensi (Stephens sticky-toed gecko). Its description in RNAcentral is "tRNA-Cys". The record is from RNAcentral. Lineage: Eukaryota; Metazoa; Chordata; Lepidosauria; Squamata; Diplodactylidae.
CAAGUCCGGCAGUGGCAGGCACGCUGAAUUGCAAAUUCGGAGAAGCCACAAUCUUUGUGGCCCGGACU